Molecule: ribosomal RNA, 253 nt
Filed under: uncultured bacterium
Lineage: Bacteria
Description: partial 16S ribosomal RNA
Rfam family: Bacterial small subunit ribosomal RNA
Source: RNAcentral
UACGUAGGGUGCGAGCGUUAUCCGGAAUUACUGGGCGUAAAGAGCUCGUAGGUGGUUUGUCGCGUUGUCCGUGAAAACUCACAGCUUAACUGUGGGCGUGCGGGCGAUACGGGCAGACUGGAGUACUGCAGGGGAGACUGGAAUUCCUGGUGUAGCGGUGGAAUGCGCAGAUAUCGGGAGGAACACCGGUGGCGAAGGCGGGUCUCUGGGCAGUAACUGACGCUGAGGAGCGAAAGCGUGGGGAGCGAACAGG